CAGUAGCCGCGGUAAUACGAAGGGGGAUAGCGUUGCUCGGAAUCACUGGGCGUAAAGGGUGCGUAGGCGGGUCUUUAAGUCAGGGGUGAAAUCCUGGAGCUCAACUCCAGAACUGCCUUUGAUACUGAAGAUCUUGAGUUCGGGAGAGGUGAGUGGAACUGCGAGUGUAGAGGUGAAAUUCGUAGAUAUUCGCAAGAACACCAGUGGCGAAGGCGGCUCACUGGCCCAAUACUGACGCUCAUGCACGAAAGCGUGGGGAGCAAACAGGAUUAGAUACCCGCGUAGUCCCUGUCUCUUAUAA
This 301-nucleotide ribosomal RNA is filed under the name uncultured bacterium. RNAcentral describes it as "partial 16S ribosomal RNA". It matches the Rfam family "Bacterial small subunit ribosomal RNA", at positions 509 to 809 of the family's 1533-position model. The record is from RNAcentral.